RNAcentral lists this ribosomal RNA (702 nucleotides) under uncultured bacterium. RNAcentral's name for it is "bacterial SSU rRNA". It matches the Rfam family "Bacterial small subunit ribosomal RNA", at positions 802 to 1504 of the family's 1533-position model. The record is from RNAcentral.
GUAAACGAUGAAUACUAGGUGUCGGGCGUCAAAACUCGGUGCCGCAGCUAACGCAUUAAGUAUUCCGCCUGGGGAGUACGCACGCAAGUGUGAAACUCAAAGGAAUUGACGGGGACCCGCACAAGCAGCGGAGCAUGUGGUUUAAUUCGAAGCAACGCGAAGAACCUUACCAGGUCUUGACAUCCUCUUGCAAGCGUCCUAGCCGACGCCCUCCUUCGGGACAAGAGAGACAGGUGGUGCAUGGUUGUCGUCAGCUCGUGUCGUGAGAUGUUGGGUUAAGUCCCGCAACGAGCGCAACCCUUGUGUUUAGUUGCCAACAGGUUAAGCUGUGCACUCUAAACAGACUGCCGUGGAUAACACGGAGGAAGGUGGGGAUGACGUCAAAUCAUCAUGCCCCUUAUGAUCUGGGCUACACACGUGCUACAAUGGUCGGUACAACGGGCAGCGAAAGAGCGAUCUGGAGCGAAUCCUAAAAAGCCGAUCCCAGUUCGGAUUGCAGGCUGAAACUCGCCUACAUGAAGUUGGAGUUGCUAGUAAUCGCGAAUCAGAAUGUCGCGGUGAAUGCGUUCCCGGGUCUUGUACACACCGCCCGUCACACCAUGGAAGUUGAGGGCGCCCGAAGCCAGUGGUCCAACCCGUAAGGGAGGAAGCUGUCGAAGGUGAAAUCAAUGACUGGGGUGAAGUCGUAACAAGGUAACCAAG